RNAcentral lists this ribosomal RNA (468 nucleotides) under uncultured bacterium. RNAcentral's name for it is "partial 16S ribosomal RNA". It matches the Rfam family "Bacterial small subunit ribosomal RNA", at positions 28 to 507 of the family's 1533-position model. The record is from RNAcentral.
GACGAACGCUGGCGGCGUGCUUAACACAUGCAAGUCGAACGGAAAGGCCCUGCUUUUGUGGGGUGCUCGAGUGGCGAACGGGUGAGUAACACGUGAGUAACCUGUCCUUGACUUUCGGAUAUCUCCAGGAAACUGCGGCUAAUACCGGAUAGGAUCUCCUGCUGCACGUUGUGCGUUGGUAAGUUUCGGCCGUUGUGGAUGGACUCGCUGCUUAUCAGCUGGUUUGUGGGGUAGUGGCUUACCCAGGCUUUGACGGGUAGCCUGCCUGGGAGGGUGACCGGCGACACUAGGACUGAGGGACGGCCCAGACUGCUACGGGAGGCAGCAGGGGGGAAUAUGGCAGAAUGGGCGGAAGCCUGAGACAGCGACGCCGCGAGCGGGAUGACGGCCUUCGGGUUGUGAACCGCUUUGGACGGUGACGAGGCGUGAGUGACGGUAAUGGGUCAAGAAGCACCGGCUAACUACGUG